RNAcentral lists this long non-coding RNA (952 nucleotides) under Papio anubis (olive baboon). RNAcentral's name for it is "lncRNA (ENSPANG00000047841.1)". Lineage: Eukaryota; Metazoa; Chordata; Mammalia; Primates; Cercopithecidae. The record is from RNAcentral.
AUGUCAAGCAAGGUGAUAAGAACAUGCCCAGGACUUGCUGAACAAGCAGAGCUAGCAGGCUACUAUCCUACUCUACUGCCUGGUAUGUUUGUGCAGUUCUAUUACCAGUUGGCUUGUAUGCUAAGCACAGUGUAUUCCCAAAGCAUUUGUGUCAAUUAUUAUUAUAAUUAUGUAAUUUAAUUGAUAAUCUGUGAGUUAAUGUAGUAUGAGUGUGAAAAGAGAGUUGUUUUCAUGAUAACUAAUUAGAAUGCUCUGGAAAGGCAUGAUAAAGGUGAAUUGCUAAAAAUACUGUUUGCUGUCAAAUUAAGUGUGAGCUGUCGAAUUAAGUGUUGUUUAUAUUUGACAAUUGAAGGGAACAUUAUUAGAACGUAGAUAUUUUCUUUUCAGUAAUAUUGAAAAAUUCUUGCCCUACUUAAAAGACACUAUGUAAAAACUGUUUAUGAAGACAUAUAUAUACGGUUAAAGAAAGAAAAUUGGGAAUUACAACCAGCAAGUUCACAUAUUUUUUAAGAAAAGACCUGUUUUACAUCAAAAAUAUUAGAUAAUGGGUGUACCUUAUUUUUCACAUAAAAUAAAAUAUUUAAAAUUAUAUAUAUAUGUGUAUAUGUAUAUUUCCUGCUUUUUCAACUAUUUGAACAAUCACUGUUCUGGAUAACAUAAGACCCCACAUAGUGUAAAUGCUUUAGUCCAAGUAAUUGUCUUUUUUUUUUUGAAACGGAGUCUCCCUCUGUUGCCCAGGCUGGAGUGCAGUGGCAGGAUCUCAGCUCACUGCAAGCUCCGCCUCCCGGAUUCAGGCCAUUCUCCUGCCUCAGCCUCCUGAGUAGCUGGGACUGCAGGCGCCCACACCACCUCUGGCUAAUUUUUUGUAUUUUUUAGUAGAGUUGGGGUUUCACCAUUUUAGCCAGGAUGGUCUCAAUCUCCUGACCUUGUGAUCCACCCUCCUCGACCUCCC